This 298-nucleotide signal recognition particle RNA is filed under the name Aotus nancymaae (Ma's night monkey). RNAcentral's name for it is "Metazoan signal recognition particle RNA (ENSANAG00000006159.1)". It matches the Rfam family "Metazoan signal recognition particle RNA". From Rfam's summary of the family: The signal recognition particle (SRP) is a universally conserved ribonucleoprotein. It is involved in the co-translational targeting of proteins to membranes. The eukaryotic SRP consists of a 300-nucleotide 7S RNA and six proteins: SRPs 72, 68, 54, 19, 14, and 9. Lineage: Eukaryota; Metazoa; Chordata; Mammalia; Primates; Aotidae. The record is from RNAcentral.
ACCGGGCACGGUGGCAUGUGCCUGUAGUCCCAGCUACUCGGGACGCUGAGGUGGGAGGAUCGCUUGAGCCCAGCAGUUCUGGGCUGUAGUGCGCUAUGCCGAUCGGAUGUCCGCGCUAAGUUUGGCAUCAAUACGGUGACCUUCCGGGAGCAGGGGACCACCAGGUUGCCUAAGGAGGGGUGAACUGGCCCAGGUCGGACACAGAACAGGUCAAAACUCCCGUGCUGUUCAGUACUGGGAUUGCGCCUGUGAAUAGCACUGCACUCCAGCCUGGGCAACAUAGCGAGACCCUGUCUCU